Molecule: long non-coding RNA, 1005 nt
Filed under: Accipiter nisus (Eurasian sparrowhawk)
Lineage: Eukaryota; Metazoa; Chordata; Aves; Accipitriformes; Accipitridae
Description: lncRNA (ENSANIG00000012106.1)
Source: RNAcentral
AUGCUCUUUUGGGGGGCCGGGGGGCCCCACCUCCCGCACCGGCAGGGCUGUGCCACCACGGCCACGCAGCUCGUGCGGUGGAAAGGCCAAGGUCACCCUUGGGGGGGGGGGGGUGGCUUUGUUGUCCCCAGAGAAAGGCUGGAGCAUCCCCAAAGACCCCACGGGGUUCGCCACGCGGCGUGUCCCCAAAACCCUGGGUGCCACUCUGCGGGGUGGCCGGGGACCGGCUCUGCGCCACGUGGGGAGACCUCGACGCGCCUUCCCCGCUCCGAAGGUCACCGCGAUGGCCGGGACGUGGCCCCCCCCACGCCGGCUGCCUGCGCUGCGGGUUGGCCCGCAGCUCCCGGGUGGUCGUGGGGUGCGUGGCUGGGGCUCGCCAGGCUUGUCACGGCACUGUCCCCACGGUGGUGGCACCUCGGCCUCUGCCUCGGCACCCCCUCGCUGUCCCCUGCGUGGAUCCCGUGUGUCCCGGGAGUGUCCCCACGCUGCGUCCCACGGCCCCAGCGUCCCCUCUCUCCUAAAUAUCCCCCUGCGUGUCCCCGCGUCCCUUGUGACCCCUGUGUGUCCCGCACGCCCCGCGUCUCCCACAUCCCAGGCGUACCCUCUAGGUGUCCCCACGUCUUCCCCCCCCCCCGUGUCCCCUCCGUCCCCCCCCCCCACGCCUCCCCCGCGCGUCCCCGCAUCCCACGUGUACCCCACCGGCUCCCCGCCUCCGUCCAUCCCCACCUCCCACGCGUGUCUCCCACCCUCCCCGCCUCCGCCACCAACGCCUCCCGCUCCCCCCCCCCCCCCCCCCCCCCCCGUCCCCCCCCCCCCCCCCCCCCCCCCCCCCCCCGGGCCCGUGUCCCCCCCCCCCCCCCCAGCCCCGUCCCGCGCGGGCCCUUUAAGGGCGGGGGCGUGUCGCAGCGCCCGGCCCGGCCCGGCCCGUUAAAGGCCCGGCGAGGGGCACGCGCCGCACUUAGACCGGGGGGGGGGGGGCGGCGGCGGCGGCGGCGGGGCCGGUAG